GGGGUUGUAGUUUAAUCUGGUNUAACGGUCGGUUGUCAUCCGAUUGGUAUGGGUUCAAAUCCCGUUAAUCCUG
Molecule: transfer RNA, 73 nt
Filed under: Callyspongia plicifera (azure vase sponge)
Lineage: Eukaryota; Metazoa; Porifera; Demospongiae; Haplosclerida; Callyspongiidae
Description: tRNA-Asp
Rfam family: tRNA
About the family: Transfer RNA (tRNA) molecules are approximately 80 nucleotides in length. Their secondary structure includes four short double-helical elements and three loops (D, anti-codon, and T loops).
Source: RNAcentral